CCAGGCAGUGCAUCUAGAAUCUGCCAUAGGAUAUGUAAACCACAAUGUGGCAAUGGCCCGGAGAGCGGCAAAAGCCUUUACCAUUGAAACUUCAAAUACAGAGCCUUCUAUCUGAAUCAUUUCAUUUCCCUUUAGCAGUUUGCCUCUGCUGCAGAUGAGAUGAAAACAGCGUCGUUUGGGGCGGUUAACAGAGCCGCGGCUGGAGCUGCAGGUGCGAGCUCUGGCGGUAAGACGGUAAUGAUUACCGGAGUGAGCAAAGGACUAGGCAGAGCCUUAGCUCUAGAACUAGCCAAGAGAGGUCACACCAUCAUCGGUUGCUCUCGUGCUCAGGAUAAGCUCAAUUCCCUCCAAUCUGAACUCUCCUCCGACCGUAACAACCACCACCUGCUCCUCAUCGCCGACGUGGUAUUUCCCCCCAUUCUACAUUUUCUUAUCAAUUUUUAAUCUUUCUUUCAUUAUUUUGGUUUUUAAUUGUUUAAUUUCAAUGGCCGGCGAUUGUUAGAGGUCUAAUAGUAGCGUCGAAGAGCUGGCAAGAGCUGUAAUAGAAAAGAAGGGUGUUCCAGAUAUCAUAGGUGAAUUUUCAUAUACAAAAUUUUCCCUUUUCUUUUUAAAUUUUAAUAUUCUUCCUUUACUUGUUAAUUUUGUUAAACAGUGAACAAUGCGGGUACCAUUAA
This 674-nucleotide unclassified non-coding RNA is filed under the name Hevea brasiliensis (rubber tree). Lineage: Eukaryota; Viridiplantae; Streptophyta; Magnoliopsida; Malpighiales; Euphorbiaceae. The record is from RNAcentral.